UCCCGCUUAGCUCAGUUGGUAGAGCGCGUCACUAGUAUGUCACGUGAGAUUAAUUACGUAAUACAUAUGACGAGGUCAGUCGUUCGAGUCGGCUAGAGGGAA
This is a non-coding RNA of Cristinia sonorae, 102 nucleotides long. The record is from the annotation of a GenBank genome assembly. NCBI's taxonomy places the organism in Eukaryota, Fungi, Basidiomycota, Agaricomycetes, Agaricales, Stephanosporaceae.